Molecule: long non-coding RNA, 437 nt
Organism: Austrofundulus limnaeus
Lineage: Eukaryota; Metazoa; Chordata; Actinopteri; Cyprinodontiformes; Rivulidae
Exons: 3
Source: RefSeq, a predicted model, not a curated record
UCUCUCCUCCUCCUCCUCCUCCUCCUCCUGCGCGCUGCUCCCCCUGUUAGGAGAGAAUAAACGCGCCUGGCAGCUUCCUGUGUUCCAUCUGACGCCGGAGCGAGGCGUUCAAGUUCAGCGGCUGGCCUCAGACACACCGAGGAGGGAUGAAAAAGAAAAGGAGAGAAAGAGAGAGAGAGGAUGGUGGGCCAGCGUUGGAGCGCGUGUGUUAUUAAUAACCAGCCAGGCAGGCAGGCGCUGAGGCUGACCGAGCCGGACUMCCCCCCAUUUUUUUUUUCUUCCUUCCUCCUUUCCUUUCUGUGAUGCGCAGAGAGGCUGAGCUGAGCGUGUGAGGGGGCUGGUGAGAACUACUUUUUCUUCCGCCUGGAUGCUGCAUAAGUGCAGCAGCACAUGCUCACCAGUCGAGGCAGAUGGUGGCCUGUACUGAGCCUGGUUCU